UCCUAACCGAUCUGUGGGGCUGUGU
RNAcentral lists this non-coding RNA (25 nucleotides) under Rattus norvegicus (Norway rat). The record is from RNAcentral. Lineage: Eukaryota; Metazoa; Chordata; Mammalia; Rodentia; Muridae.